UACGGAAGGCAGCAGUGGGGAAUAUUGCACAAUGGGCGAAAGCCUGAUGCAGCUAUGCCGCGUGUAUGAAGAAGGCCUUAGGGUUGUAAAGUACUUUCAUCGGGGAGGAAAAAACAAAACUAAUAAUUUUAUUUCUUGACGUUACCCGAAAAAGAAGCACCGGCUAACUCCGUGCCAGCAGCCGCGGUAAUACGGAGGGUGCUAGCGUUAAUCAGAAUUACUGGGCGUAAAGAGCACGUAGGUGGUUUUUUUAAGUCAGAUGUGAAAUCCCUGGGCUUAACCUGGAACUGCAUUUUGAAACUGAAAUACUAGAGUAUCGUAGAGGGAGGUAGAAUUCUAGGUGUAGCGGUGAAAUGCGUAGAUAUCUGGAGGAAUACCUGUGGCGAAAGCGGCCUCCUAAACGAAUACUGACACUGAGGGUGCGAAAGCGUGGGGAGCAAACGAGGAUUAGAUACC
This 456-nucleotide ribosomal RNA is filed under the name uncultured bacterium. RNAcentral describes it as "bacterial SSU rRNA". It matches the Rfam family "Bacterial small subunit ribosomal RNA", at positions 340 to 786 of the family's 1533-position model. The record is from RNAcentral.